AUGCACGCUGGCGGCGUGCCUAAUACAUGCACGUCGCGCGAACAGACGAGGAGCUUGCUCCUCUGACGUUAGCGGCGGACGGGUGAGUAACACGUGGAUAACCUACCUAUAAGACUGGGAUAACUUCGGGAAACCGGAGCUAAUACCGGAUAAUAUAUUGAACCGCAUGGUUCAAUAGUGAAAGACGGUUUUGCUGUCACUUAUAGAUGGAUCCGCGCCGCAUUAGCUAGUUGGUAAGGUAACGGCUUACCAAGGCGACGAUGCGUAGCCGACCUGAGAGGGGGAUCGGCCACACUGGAACUGAGACACGGUCCAGACUCCUACGGGAGGCAGCAGUAGGGAAUCUUCCGCAAUGGGCGAAAGCCUGACGGAGCAACGCCGCGUGAGUGAUGAAGGUCUUCGGAUCGUAAAACUCUGUUAUUAGGGAAGAACAAAUGUGUAAGUAACUAUGCACGUCUUGACGGUACCUAAUCAGAAAGCCACGGCUAACUACGUG
This 496-nucleotide ribosomal RNA is filed under the name uncultured bacterium. RNAcentral describes it as "partial 16S ribosomal RNA". It matches the Rfam family "Bacterial small subunit ribosomal RNA", at positions 29 to 507 of the family's 1533-position model. The record is from RNAcentral.